Non-coding RNA from Pantherophis guttatus, 1249 nucleotides. NCBI's taxonomy places the organism in Eukaryota, Metazoa, Chordata, Lepidosauria, Squamata, Colubridae. The record is from RefSeq and is a predicted model, not a curated record.
GACAGCUAUCCCAGCAACUGAACACUUCCAACACUUGUUUUAGAAAGAAAGAGGGAAACAUGUUGUCAAACCUGCGAAAAUUGUUGUUGAAGAGGCAUUUCAAGGUGGGACCAUGGGAAGAAAGAAGCAGCAAGGAAAAGAAAGAUUCUACACCUUAUCCAAAGAUUUGCCAACUGGCAAUCCUUGGCAAGAAGACUAACACCUACCCAGGAGAAGAAAACAGCACCCUGUGUCUUCCUAUCUGCAUUGGGAAGAAUGCUAUCUUAGUAUUGGAUGGGUCUGUCUCUCCAGAGAGCAAAUAUCGCAAAUAAUUGGGUAGGUGUUAGGUUGUAGUUGAGAGCAAUACAUGGAACUACUGAAGAAAUGACUUAGAGGGAGAGAAAGAUCUCUCUUCAUGUUAUACAGUCUUUGAGAAGGAAAUGCAUUGCCUUUGUAGCCAAACCUACAUGAUAAUUCAGUUGGGAGGUAAGCAACAGACUCAAAGACACCUUAAAUUUUAUUAAUGUUAAGAUCCUUCAGAGGAUUACAGCCUAAAACAGGAGUCCCAAAUCAUUACAGUAUUGAAGAACAAUGGAAGCCUGGAUGAAGAGCAAGAAUGGAACGGAACAGCUGGACUUCUAAAUGUCUUAUGACAACGCAUUGUGAAAGAUCUAUGUAUCACCUUUGAAUGCAAAUUUUGGAGACAAAUGUCUACAUGUUUAUGCAAAAAAAUGUAAAUAUUAACUGCUGCUAAUCUCAGAGACAGAGUGUACUUUUGGAAAUGAAAUAAGGAAUCCCACAAAUUAGGUAACCAUUUUCACUUGUUGGGAAAUUCUUUACGAAUGUACAACUUUGCAAAUUAAAUGAGAAAAAAAAGUUUAAAAAGAAACAGGCCAGCUCAAACUGAGUAAGUUAUAUAUCCAAAGAUGAGAGGCAGUGCUGAAUAUUAGUAAGAAAAUAAAGGGAAUUAAAAUUAUUAAAAGAGUAGGGAUAGCCAGUUUAACUUGCAUUUAACAUUACUUAAAUUUUGCACGUUCAGAUCAAGUCACAACAAAAACUCAAUUAUUGUUUGACAUAAGCAUUUUUUAAAAAAUCUUCCAUUUCUCCAAUUAAAUACGCACAAACAUGUCAAGGGUGUAUACAAUUGCUUAUGCUAGUGAAAAUAAUAUAUAAAAUACAUAUUGUUUGUGAAAUACGUACUGCAAAAAUGUAUAUGACAAAAUUAUAAACAAUAUGGUUAUGUAGUUAUAUUAAAGAGGAAUCUGUAUGA